GGACGGCAAGGCGGGGAGAGGGGCAGCCCGCUCGCGGCCCUCCCGCCUGGCUCUCGCCUCGGCCUGCGGCCGGGAUCCUCCGCCCGGGUCGCGCAGCGGAGGCCGAGGGCUGGGACGGGCGGCUGGGAAGUGGGAAAGGGAGCUCCUUUUGUCUUCUCUUCCCAUCCCCCAGGUUUGGGAAAGUUUUCCUUUUGGGAAAGCCCCUCUCUUCAGCCUGCUGGCGGGUGUCGGAUUGGUUAGCGACCACCGGCCCCCGCCUCCCCCAACAGGAUUCUCCUUUGGGCCACAGGUCUUCCGGAAGUUGCCAAACCCCGGUAGCGGCAGCGUCCGGCUGGGGGCUUUAUUAGGGGGCACCGGGGUCUGCUUUCCGACUCCCUUCCGACUCCGCGCCUGCGCAGGAAGCGAUUUGGGGAGUGUUGUGAAUUCCGAGGGCUCCACACUUAAGAGGUUGUACACUCACCUGUCUACCUGGACUCCAAUUUCCAUAUUUCCAGCCACUUGAGGACUGAGAGGUGGAUGAUAAACCCUGUCAUAGUGGAGCAAGUUCAGGUGUUUAACCGCUGUUAUGGGGGAUCUGCCUUUUCUCCCUCUUCUUUCUUACUUCCAUAAGUAUGUAUGUGCAGAGAUUGAAAAAUAACCUUGAGAGAGUCCAUCCAUCUAACUCCAGUUCAUUGGAAAUUUCUGCUUCUUUGAGACUGAGGUUAUAUUCCACUUCUUCUGACUACACCACCACCAUCAAUCUCCUUCUCUGAACUCUUGGAUCAUUACUUCAACCUGAAACAACUCAUCAGGCAGAAUAGUUGCCUACUGCCCCAACCCCACCAAAUGUUCCAGCACCUCUGAUAUUACCUCACAUGGCAAGAGGGCUUUGAAGAUGUGAUUGAGUCAAGGAUCUUGAAUGGGGAGAUUAUCCUGAAUUAUUCAGCUGGACCCAGUGUAAUCACAAAGGUUUUUCAAAGAUGGAAGAGAGGCAGAAGAGCCAGAAAAGGAUAUGUGACAAUGGAGUCAGUGUCAGAGUUGGAGUGACGUGAUGUGAGAAGGAUUCAACCUGCUGUUUCUGGCUUUGAGGAUGAAAGAAGGGGCCAUGAGCCAAGCAAUACAGGUGGCUUCUUUCAAGAAGUUGGAAAAGUGGUAAUAUUUUAUGUUAUUUUGGUUUGAUUUUUGUUUGUGGCAUAUGGCUCUGCUGUCCUGUGACUCUAAGUAGAAGAGAAAAUAGUGCCAAUAAUUCUUCAUGGAGAUGCACCUCUCUCAAGUCUUGAACAAUGUUUGAGAUUUCCCCAGGCCACCAUCACUGGAUUUGGCUAUUUGACUUGCUGUAGUCAAUGGAAUGUGAGUGAAAAGUGACUCUGUACCAGUGGGGAGGCAAAGCCUUAAAAGACCCAGCAAAUUUCUUCCAGCCCUUUUGUGCUUCUGCCAAAAGAAUACUGUGAGCAAUCAGUGCCCUUAAGCCUGGGCCUCAGAACGAGAGAUAUGGAGCAAACCUGAACCUGAACAGCAGCCUACAAUCAAGCCAGGAUGACCCUGCAAAGCCCAGCCAACGAUAGCAAAGCCACAGCAGACUUGUAGACCAAUGAGCAUGAAAUAAAUUGCAUUGAAAGCUA
Molecule: long non-coding RNA, 1601 nt
Organism: Homo sapiens (human)
Lineage: Eukaryota; Metazoa; Chordata; Mammalia; Primates; Hominidae
Gene: PARAIL
Product: palmitic acid regulated anti-inflammatory lncRNA
Source: Ensembl